Molecule: ribosomal RNA, 262 nt
Filed under: uncultured archaeon
Lineage: Archaea
Description: partial 16S ribosomal RNA
Rfam family: Archaeal small subunit ribosomal RNA
Source: RNAcentral
CAGCCGUAAACUAUGCGCGUUAGGUGUAUCGGUGACCACGAGUUACCGAGGUGCCGAAGGGAAACCGUGAAACGUGCCGCCUGGGAAGUACGGUCGCAAGGCUGAAACUUAAAGGAAUUGGCGGGGGAGCACCACAACAGGUGGAGCCUGCGGUUUAAUUGGAUUCAACGCCGUAAACUCACCAGGGAAGACUGUUACAUGAAGGCCGAGAUGAAGACUCUGCUAGAUUUUCAGAGAGGAGGUCGCAAUGGCGUCAGUGACU